RNAcentral lists this unclassified non-coding RNA (3367 nucleotides) under Daphnia magna. Its description in RNAcentral is "n-alpha-acetyltransferase 15, NatA auxiliary subunit, transcript variant X4". Lineage: Eukaryota; Metazoa; Arthropoda; Branchiopoda; Diplostraca; Daphniidae. The record is from RNAcentral.
UUAGCUCAAAGUGUUCGGCCGGCAGCACGAGGCUUUUUUACGGUUAACCUGUGUCAUCAUCGGUUGAAACGAAACCGGCAUUUAAUGGUUUUUGGAAAUAAUUUUGUUACUUCACUGCGAGACUAGGAUAUUGAUCCUCAUCAAAACAUGCCUUCCAGUCAGCCUCUACCUCCCAAAGAAAAUGCCCUGUUUAAAAGAAUUCUGAAAAGUUACGAACAAAAGCAGUAUAAAAAUGGUCUUAAGUUUGCCAAACAGAUUCUCAGCAAUCCAAAGUUUGCUGAACAUGGAGAGACCCUGUCAAUGAAGGGAUUGACUCUUAAUUGUAUGGGAAGGAAGGAAGAGGCUUAUGAACAUGUGCGAAGAGGUCUCCGUAAUGAUCUAAUGUCUCAUGUCUGUUGGCAUGUGUAUGGGCUACUACAGAGAUCAGAUAAAAAGUAUGACGAGGCAAUAAAAUGCUAUAGGAAUGCAUUGAAAUGGGAUAAAGACAAUGUUCAAAUUCUGAGGGAUUUGUCACUUCUUCAAAUCCAGAUGCGAGAUCUUGAAGGAUACAGAGAUACCAGGUACUCUCUCUUGAGAUUACGUCCUGGUCAACGAGCUUCAUGGAUAGGGUUUGCCAUGGCUUACCACCUUCUUCAUGAUUAUGACAAUGCUCUGCAAGUUUUGGAAGAUUUCAGAAAAACUCUUACAAAAUCUAGCUAUGACUAUGAGCAGAGUGAGCUUUUACUCUACAUGCAUCAAGUGAUGUUUGAAGGUGGUCUUUAUCAAAAGUCACUGUCUCAUCUACAACAAUUUGAAGACCAAAUUUGUGAUAAGUUGAGUCUAAUGGAAGCCAGAGCUCAACUCUACCUCAAGCUCGAUCGUCUGAAAGAGGCUGAAGAAGAAUACCGUAAAUUGUUAAAACGCAAUCCAGACAAUCGGCAGUAUUACUUUGGACUGGAAGAAGCUCGUGGAUUAACUACCGAAGCUGAAAAGCUGCAGCUCUACGCUGAGCUUCGCGAGUCUUUCCCGCGAGCUGCGUUGGCCCGAAGAAUACCAUUGAACUAUGCCAGUGGGGAAAUUUUCCGCAUUCUAGUAGACCAAUAUCUCCGUCGGGCACUGCACAAAGGCGCUCCUCCCUUAUUCGUAGAUUUACGUUCGCUCUACACACAACCGGGCAAGGCGACCGUCAUCGAAGAACUUUUACUUGGCUACAUAGCUAGUUUAACUAAAUGUGAACGAUUCGACGAACAAGAUGUGAAGGACAGUCCAGCAGAACCAGCUUCAGCUAUUCUGUGGACCUACUAUUAUCUAGCUCAGCAUUACGACUUCCAUAAGGAUUCCGCUAAAGCAAUGCAUUAUAUAAAUUUGGCUAUAGAACACACUCCCACGCUGAUCGAGCUCUAUGUGACAAAAGGGCGGUUAUAUAAGCAUGCUGGAAAUCCGAUCGAAGCAUACCGUUGCUUAGAUGAGGCUCAGUCUUUAGACACUGCUGAUCGGUAUAUCAAUUCAAAAUGCGCGAAGUAUAUGCUACGGGCUAACCUUAUCGACGAAGCAGAAAUGACGUGCUCAAAAUUUACAAGGGAAGGAGUAUCAGCUAUGGAAAACCUGAAUGAAAUGCAGUGCAUGUGGUUCCAAACCGAAUGCGCGGUGGCUUAUCAACGCAUGGGGCAGUGGGGAGACUCACUGAAAAAGUGUCAUGAAAUAGAAAGACAUUUUGUCGAAAUCAUCGAAGACCAGUUCGAUUUCCAUACGUAUUGUAUGCGAAAAAUGACACUGCGAGCUUAUGUUGGUCUUCUUCGCCUGGAAGACGUCCUGCGCUCGCACCCUUUCUAUUUCAGCGCUGCACGAUGCGCCAUUGAAGUCUACUUACACUUGCACGAUCAUCCACUUCGCGACGAGCCAACGAAAGAGGAGCUUCAAGAGGCUUCGCUACCACCGGUGGAAUUGAAGAAAUUGCGUGCCCAACAACGUAAGGCUGCAAAACGAGCCGAACUGGAGAAGCAAGAGAAGUUGCUUCAGCAGCAGCGUGAACAGCGUGAACGUGAACAACGCGAAAGGGAACAACGAGACCCGCACAGUCACCACCAGAAACGAGCCCACAAUCAACAAGAUAAAGAAGCCGAUGCUCCACCCGUCGACGACUUGCAACCCCACAAGUUGGCCAGGGUCGAAGACCCGCUCGAGCAAGCAAUCAAGUUUUUGCAGCCGUUGCAAGAAUGGGCCUCUAAUCGUAUCGAAACCCAUCUACUGGCUUUCGAAGUCUAUUUGAGAAAAGGCAAGCCACUUCUGAUGGUCCAAUCGGUAAAGCGUGCCUUAAAAGUUGAUCCUGACCAUCCGCAGUUGCAUUCGUGUCUCAUCCGAUUGCAUCGUUUCCUCACCAAUGGUGACCUACUCAGUGAAACCGUCUCGCACCCGGCCGUGGCAGCCGUGCUGAAUAGUGAAACGCAACCAUUAUUCCGUGACCACCAAGAGGCCGAACAGCUCAACAAAGAAUUCUUGGAGCAGAACAGCAACUCCCUCCCUCACCUUCUGCAAGGCGCCAAAAUGAUGUGCUUUCUGAAUCCCACUCGUGACGCAGAAGCAGUAUCCCUUGUCACCCGGCUUUGCGACGCCCAUCAGGGUGUAACGGUUCAGACUUGCAUAGACAUAUUGAAAGCGUUGCAAAAAGGCGAAUUCGGCGAAUCCGGUCGCAAGGAAAUCAGCAACUUCAAAGAACUAUGCCACCAGCGCAUGCCGCACGCCGUCGACUUUUUUUCUGGUCAACAGGUUGCUUUGACCACGAAUCACAAUCACGCGGUGGAAGAAUCAUUGACAAAUCACGUCUCGAAUUUAACAGUUGAAGACGGAACCAAUUGAACAGCACUUAAUUAAAUAAGAAUAUUAAAGUAAGAGCAACAUCAUUGAGAAAAAAUCUAGGGUGAAAAGAAACCAAUGCCCAGAAGCGGAAAUACUUUUGUCAUCUGCUAUUUACACGGAAAGUUCUGGGAUUUUCUUUAUAUAGAGAAAACCCUAAUCACAAACACCAGCCAUGGAACAAUUUAUUAUUCUUUUUUUUUUUUAUUAUUCUUUUUUUUUUCUGACAUUAAAGAGUCCUUUGUGUGCCUUGGCUGGAAGUGAAAGUCAGAAUAAUCGUUUUGAAACCAAUACAUUUUUCUCAAUUAAGUAAAAAAAAAUUAAAUUCCUAAUUGGUUUUUUUUUUUGUUCGCUUCAGAGUAAAGCUCUGUUUUGUAUCGGUAAUCUCUUAGUUGCUAACAAUUGAUUUCUAUUGUUUUCUUUUGUUUCCCUUCAUUUUGUCACCCCUUCCAUGAGAUGAGGAGUGAAUUGGCGCGUUUCUGGAUUAAGCAUGAAAGUUGUGUGUGAAGAGAUGAAUACACAGUGUAGAACCUUU